CAGUGUCCAGACCUGAAAGCUCUUCAGUUCCUGUACCGUUGAUUGUUGGGCUGGUUUGUGGAAUCGUACUUAUUCUUCUUCUGCUCCUUUUGUAUCGCUACAGACCGUCCAAAGAUUCCUGCUCCAUCAGGCCAAUCCAGUCUGAGAGCACUAAUCGAGGUUCUGUCGAAAACUACUCCUCUCCUGUCCACGAUUAAUUUGACAGUGGCUGCAGGUGAUGCUCCUCUCUAUGAAACAAUCAAAGGCUUUGAAAACACACAGAGUGUUGCAGAUGAGUCCCAGGAUUUCACAUAUUCUUUGAUCGAGAUUAAAAACGUUAGAAAGAAAAAGAAGCGACAUGAACCAGAGGAGGUCUGUGUUUACUCUGAGGUGAACGCUGGGACUGCAGGAAAAUCACCUCCUGCAGCAGCUGAUGAAACAGUUUAUUCUGAAGUCAAACCAGGAACAGCACUUGGUUAUAAAGCUGCCAUAUGAUGAUCAUUCUGUCAUGAUUUAUUCUGCAGAUAAUUAAAUGGGUCUAUUUCAAAAUAACACGUCAGACAGCAUCCUUACAUCGUGAAUAAACCUAUAUCUUGAUAUUUUGUUGUUUUUCUUCCAGGUCUGUAAAGAGAGCUGAGUUGGUAAAGAAAAAUGGUCGACAGCAUUUUAUAAACUUACUGUGUGGGCGUCUGCUUUCAAACAUGAGACAUGUUCAGUAUUGUGUUGUGUGUAAAAAUUGUGUUAAUUUAUCAGUAGAUUAUAAAACAAUUACAUCAUGUGGAUUUAAUUACUCUCUAUUUUAGCACAAAGCACAGGUACGGACUGCAUAUUAUUAGUUUUCAUUUUGUCAUUUAUUUUCAACUUUUCUUUAAGUUUGCUACAGUAUGUUUGAGCUUUAGUACCCAGGUGAUUAUAGUCAGUGUCUUUUUCAGAGUUGGAUGAGAAAGAUCAAGUUCAACAGUUACUUUAUGUCAUGAUCUGCUAUCGAACAACAUAUCCUCACCUGAAUGGAUUUUAUAUUUUUUGUAUUGUUUGUAGAAAAAUUGUUUUGAUCAUUUUAUGCAUCAACAAAGUUCUAUUUCUGUCAGUUGUGAUUUUAAUUCUUCAAAUUGGAUGAGCACAUCCCACAGAAACCUACUGAAACUCAGGCUUGGCAAAAGUCAUAAAGUUUUCAGGGACUAUUUCUUGGUAGAAUUUUUUUCCACUCAAAACUGUUUAUUUUUCAGAGUAACUGAGACAUUUGCUCUGAAAAGACAUGUUGAUGUUAUUCUACUCAUUUAAACUCAGUGCAUCUUUAUUGUGUCAGAGUGAAUGCAGAAAUAGGAAUUUCCAGGGGUCUCAUUUAUAAAACUGUGCUUACAAUCCUCACUAAAAGUCUAUGUAC
This is a long non-coding RNA of Micropterus salmoides (largemouth bass), 1363 nucleotides long. RefSeq lists it as uncharacterized. NCBI's taxonomy places the organism in Eukaryota, Metazoa, Chordata, Actinopteri, Centrarchiformes, Centrarchidae. The transcript has 7 exons. The record is from RefSeq and is a predicted model, not a curated record.